This 102-nucleotide microRNA precursor is filed under the name Marmota monax (woodchuck). Lineage: Eukaryota; Metazoa; Chordata; Mammalia; Rodentia; Sciuridae. The record is from RNAcentral.
AGAGGGAUAGCUGGGUCAAAUGGUGGUUCCAUUCUCAAUUUUCCAAAAAUCUCCAUACUAUUUUCCAUAUUGGCUGCACCAGUUUGCAGUCCCACCAGCAGU